RNAcentral lists this ribosomal RNA (2756 nucleotides) under freshwater metagenome. RNAcentral's name for it is "bacterial LSU rRNA". It matches the Rfam family "Bacterial large subunit ribosomal RNA", at positions 1 to 2451 of the family's 2925-position model. The record is from RNAcentral.
UCAAGUGAAUAAGUGCAUAUGGUGGAUGCCUUGGCGAUUACAGGCGAUGAAAGACGUGAUAGCCUGCGAAAAGCUACGGGGAGCUGGCAAAUAAGCUUUGAUCCGUAGAUGUCUGAAUGGGGAAACCCACCCGCAAGGGUAACCUUCUCUGAAUAUAUAGGAGAAAGGUGGCGAACCGAGUGAACUGAAACAUCUAAGUAGCUCGAGGAAAAGAAAUCAACCGAGAUUCCGGAAGUAGUGGCGAGCGAACCCGGAAAAGCCUGUUAUUUUUAGCACAUGCGAUAGUAGAACGGAAUGGAAAGUCCGGCCAUAGAGGGUGAUAGCCCCUUAUACGAAAUCCCGUGUGUGGAACUAGGGUAACGACAAGUAGGGCGGGGCACGAGAAACCCUGUCUGAACAUGGGGGGACCAUCCUCCAAGGCUAAAUACUCGUAAUCGACCGAUAGUGAACCAGUACCGUGAGGGAAAGGCGAAAAGAACCCCGGGAGGGGAGUGAAAUAGAUCCUGAAACCGUAUGCAUACAAACAGUGGGAGCGGACUUGUUCCGUGACUGCGUACCUUUUGUAUAAUGGGUCAGCGACUUACAUUCAGUAGCAAGCUUAACCGAUAGGGGAGGCGUAGCGAAAGCGAGUCCGAAUAGGGCGUUCAGUUGCUGGGUGUAGACCCGAAACCAAGUGAUCUAUCCAUGGCCAGGAUGAAGGUGCCGUAACAGGUACUGGAGGUCCGAACCCACAAAUGUUGAAAAAUUUGGGGAUGAGCUGUGGAUAGGGGUGAAAGGCUAAACAAACUUGGAAAUAGCUGGUUCUCUCCGAAAACUAUUUAGGUAGUGCCUCGUAUAUCACUCUUGGGGGUAGAGCACUGUUAUGGCUAGGGGGUUCACAAGAACUUACCAAACCAUUGCAAACUCCGAAUACUGAGAAGUGCAAUUACGGGAGACAGUCCAUGGGUGCUAACGUCCGUGGACAAGAGGGAAACAACCCAGACCGCCAGCUAAGGUCCCAAAUGACGUGCUAAGUGGAAAACGAAGUGGGAAGGCAUAGACAGCUAGGAGGUUGGCUUAGAAGCAGCCACCCUUUAAAGAAAGCGUAAUAGCUCACUAGUCGAGUCGUCCCGCGCGGAAGAUGUAACGGGGCUAAGCACGUAACCGAAGCUGCGGACGCAUUUAAUGCGUGGUAGGAGAGCGUUCUGUAGGUCUGUGAAGGUGUUCUGUGAGGAAUGCUGGAGAUAUCAGAAGUGCGAAUGCUGACAUGAGUAGCGAUAAAGGGGGUGAAAAGCCCCCUCGCCGAAAGCCCAAGGUUUCCUGCGCAACGUUCAUCGGCGCAGGGUGAGUCGGCCCCUAAGGUGAGGCAGAGAUGCGUAGCUGAUGGGAAACAGGUUAAUAUUCCUGUACUUUAAUAUGAUGCGAUGUGGGGACGGAGAAGGUUAGGUCAUCCAACUGUUGGAAUAGUUGGUUCAAGCGUGUAGGGAGAUCUCUUAGGCAAAUCCGGGAGGUCAAUUCUGAGACGUGAUGACGAGGCACUUCGGUGCUGAAGUGAUUGAUACCAUGCUUCCAAGAAAAGCCACUAAGCUUCAGUCAUAUUAGAACCGUACCGCAAACCGACACAGGUGGGCAGGAUGAGAAUUCUAAGGCGCUUGAGAGAACCCGGGAGAAGGAACUCGGCAAAUUUGCACCGUAACUUCGGGAGAAGGUGCGCCCCGGUAGGUUGUAGAGAUUUACUCUCGAAGGCCGAUGGGGUUGCAGUGAAAAGGUGGCUGCGACUGUUUAAUAAAAACACAGCACUCUGCAAACACGAAAGUGGACGUAUAGGGUGUGACGCCUGCCCGGUGCCGGAAGGUUAAUUGAUGGGGUGCAAGCUCUUGAUCGAAGCCCCGGUAAACGGCGGCCGUAACUAUAACGGUCCUAAGGUAGCGAAAUUCCUUGUCGGGUAAGUUCCGACCCGCACGAAUGGCGUAACGAUGGCCACACUGUCUCCUCUCGGGACUCAGCGAAGUUGAAAUGUUUGUGAAGAUGCAAUCUACCCGCGGCUAGACGGAAAGACCCCAUGAACCUUUACUGUAGCUUUACAUUGGACUUUGACAAGAUUUGUGUAGGAUAGGUGGGAGACUAUGAAGUAGGGACGCUAGUUCUUAUGGAGUCAACCUUGAAAUACCACCCUGAUGUUGUUGAGGUUCUAACCUAGGUCCGUAAUCCGGAUCGGGGACCGUGUAUGGUGGGCAGUUUGACUGGGGCGGUCUCCUCCCAAAGAGUAACGGAGGAGUGCGAAGGUAACCUAGGUACGGUCGGAAAUCGUACUGAUAGUGCAAUGGCAAAAGGUUGCUUGACUGCGAGACGGACAGGUCGAGCAGGUGCGAAAGCAGGUCAUUAUCGUGACUGGGAAACAGACAAAUGAGACAAGACUAUCUCAUCAUAGCAUCCACAGCUAUUAUCAUCUCAACACUUACAACUAACUCAAGGAUGGCAGUAUUCAAUAUCGUCAUAGCCAUUAUAGCUUUCAUCCUCUAUUUAGGUCAGAUCCCCGUCAAACCCAAACACCCACUACCACCAAACACAAAAGUGAGGAUCGACUUCUCUAAAGCACCAAACAACAAGCAGAUCAGACUCAUCAAAGACUCCCACAAACUCCAAAACACAGAGCAAGAGGUUGAACUUUAUCUCCAAAACACCAAACUCUACAAACUCAAAAACCUAGAUCAACUCUUCGACGAAAACUGGAUCAUCAAGAAAUAAACAACAAAAGGGGCGUAAAACAAAACUCG